This is a long non-coding RNA of Herpailurus yagouaroundi (jaguarundi), 2016 nucleotides long. RefSeq lists it as uncharacterized. The record is from RefSeq and is a predicted model, not a curated record. The transcript has 2 exons. NCBI's taxonomy places the organism in Eukaryota, Metazoa, Chordata, Mammalia, Carnivora, Felidae.
GAUGUCCGGUUCUUCAAAGUUUCCUCUCUGACUGGAGCAGAAAAAAGCGAAGGCGGGGGGCAGCGCGGGUUGCGGGGGGCAGCGCGGGUUGCGUGCGCGGCAGGUGCCAGGCUCAACUUGAGGGGAGCUGGCCCCGCGCGACCACCUAACCACGACCCUCCCUCUCCCUCCGCCGCCCGGCUCAUUGCAGAGCGUUGCAAAGUUGGCGCGGGUGCUGGGGAAGUCCCGCCGCGCCCCCACGUGGCUGCCGCGCGGGGAGCUGUCCCCAGGGCCCAGGGAGGGCAGGUGACCACGCCGUGAGCCCGCAAGCCCCGUCUCCAGCUACCCCGGCCUCUGCGUCUGCCUCCCUCCCUUUCCAGGUCCGGGCGAACUGCGGCGCUCCGCCGGGACCCUCUCGUCCCUGGACCCGGCCGGGUGGCCGGCGAGUCUCGGCGCCUGUGUCUGGCGACCCGGGCCCUGCGGGAGCCGGUUGAGGCGAGAGCUCAGGUAGCUGAGGGGCCUGAUCCCUGCGCUCAGCGCUCCUGCCUUAAUCCGCCCCUGUUUCCAUGGCAACAGACCGAGGUGUCGUAAGCACAGGAUUCUGACCUCACAGUAGGAUAGGGAAGGAGAAAACGGGCAGGGGGAGGUGGCGGAGGAAUGGGAAGCGAAGCCUCAAGAUGGGCGGAGAGGAGCAGGCGUGGGGGUCACGGAGGAGACCCCACUAGCAGGUGGGACAGCAAGCUGGGUCCUGUCUUCUGGCAGGACAUUUUAGGAAUUGCGUGCGCUGCCUUGCAUCCCUUCAGGAAAGGACUCUACUGGCCACAGCCCCACCUCUGUGAACCAGAACAGCCUGAGUCGUCAGUGGAUCCUGCUGCUGACAGUGCUAGUAGCUGAAGGCUUCAGCUGCUGCCUGCCCUCUUUUCCAUCUCCUGGCCUACCCUGGCAGAACCAGGGAUAUAAAAAGCAAGCCUCUGGUCAGAGAUGAGAGGCAGGCAGAGCAAGCCAGGCCCCGAGCCACCCAGCACCAUCCAGGAAGAAAGAGCAGCCCUGUUGGGGGUUUUGCUUUGCCAGAAGUGGCCUGCUUAAGGUCAGGAUCUAUGGUUUUCAUUUUUAGAGCUAUAAAAACAGAAUGCAAAUCAACAGCCUCUGGGCUAAUAAAGAACCUGUCCUUAAAGUUUUUGUCUUGUUAAGCAAGGAAAUAGAGUGCCAAAUAGGCUUUGUUAAGUGGCAGUCUAAUUAAUAAUUUAAAAUCUUGUAGCUGUCUUUCAUUAGAAUUUAUCUGUACAUCAACCACAAAAUCAGUCAAACACACUCAUUUAUAAGUUAAUGCCAUCUUUGAAUAAUUCAGCAAGAGCUAGAUUAAGGUCUGCAGUCCAGUAAGAUGCAUUUUGUUCUUUUGGUUUCCCUAGCCAGAUGGGCUGGCCUGGUGGCUGGAUUGGGUCUCCUUUGUGUGAAGAAGGAGGGGAGGCAGAGGGAGGAAGGGACCAUGGGGUUGUCAGUGCUUCGUCCAUUUGAUCCCUGAGGUUCCCUAGGUGACCUGAGAGUCUCCAUGUGGCCAGGGGUGAGCAGGCUCCAUCUCUUGGAGCUAUCCAUAACAUGGCCCUCUUUAGCUCCGAUGGAGAGGAGAAGGGAGGAGUGUUCCACCAACAGCCAAGACACUUCUCUUUCCGCUGCAGAGGAAGUGUAGAGCGGAAAUACAAGAGCCCUGCUUGAGAGGGUUGAGAUAUGAGGCUUUUGUAUCCCAAACCCCGGUGCAGAAGUGGAAUUUCAGUCUUCCCAGCCUAAUUCUGUCCCCGCUCAGGGAAGGCAGCCUGGUGGAACCAAUGUCACCAAAACAGCUUCUAUCACUGGGAGCCUCUGGGCUGCUUCUUUCCUCAAAGUUCCUCGUCCUUGUGCCGGGAAAGAGAAGCCAGGAGGAGGAAUUUUAGGGGAGCACCGGGACACAACCAACAGAAGAAGAGAGGCAGAGCGAGUUGCUAAAUAAAGCCCAUGCAUGCAUUUUCUCAUCAGGAGCCAGAAUAAAAGCAAGGAAAGCAG